Molecule: transfer RNA, 68 nt
Filed under: Lanceolaria lanceolata
Lineage: Eukaryota; Metazoa; Mollusca; Bivalvia; Unionida; Unionidae
Description: tRNA-Arg
Source: RNAcentral
CAAGAAGAAAGCUACAGUAGCAAUAUGGUUUCGGCCCAUAAAUCGGAUUAAGCUUCAAUCCUCUUCUU